UACCGAAUUCAGAUAAACUCCGAAUGCCAUGUACUUAUACUCGGGAGUCAGACUGCGAGUGAUAAGAUCCGUAGUCGAAAGGGAAACAGCCCAGACCACCAGUUAAGGUCCCCAAAUAUAUGUUAAGUGGAAAAGGAUGUGGGGUUGCUUAGACAACCAGGAUGUUGGCUUAGAAGCAGCCACCAUUGAAAGAGUGCGUAAUAGCUCACUGGUCGAGUGACCCCGCGCCGAAAAUGUACCGGGGCUAAACAUAUUACCGAAACUGUGGAUGAACCUCUUUAGAGGUUCGUGGUAGGAGAGCGUUCUAAGGGCGGUGAAGUCAGACCGGAAGGACUGGUGGAGCGCUUAGAAGUGAGAAUGCCGGUAUGAGUAGCGAAAGAAGGGUGAGAAUCCCUUCCACCGAAUAUCUAAGGUUUCCUGAGGAAGGCUCGUCCGCUCAGGGUUAGUCGGGACCUAAGCCGAGGCCGAUAGGCGUAGGCGAUGGACAACAGGUAGAGAUUCCUGUACCAGUGCUAAUUGUUUAACCGAUGGGGUGACACAGAAGGAUAGGGAAUCGCACGAAUGGAAAUGUGCGUCCAAGCAGUGAGUGUGAGAAGUAGGCAAAUCCGCUUCUCGCGAAGCAUGAGCUGUGAUGGGGAAGGAAAUUAAGUACGGAAGUUCCUGAUUUCACGCUGUCAAGAAAAGCCUCUAGGAAGAGUAGUACUGCCCGUACCGCAAACCGACACAGGUAGAUGAGGAGAGAAUCCUAAGGUGAGCGAGAGAACUCUCGUUAAGGAACUCGGCAAAAUGACCCCGUAACUUCGGGAGAAGGGGUGCUCUAUUAGGGUGCAAGCCCGAGAGAGCCGCAGUGAAUAGGCCCAGGCGACUGUUUAGCAAAAACACAGGUCUCUGCAAAACCGUAAGGUGACGUAUAGGGGCUGACGCCUGCCCGGUGCUGGAAGGUUAAGAGGAGUGCUUAGCUUCGGCGAAGGUACGAAUUGAAGCCCCAGUAAACGGCGGCCGUAACUAUAACGGUCCUAAGGUAGCGAAAUUCCUUGUCGGGUAAGUUCCGACCCGCACGAAAGGCGCAACGAUCUGGGCACUGUCUCAACGAGAGACUCGGUGAAAUUAUAGUACCUGUGAAGAUGCAGGUUACCCGCGACAGGACGGAAAGACCCCGUGGAGCUUUACUGCAACCUGAUAUGGAAUGUUUGUACCGCUUGUACAGGAUAGGUAGGAGCCGAAGAGACGUGUGCGCUAGCAUACGAGGAGGCAAUGGUGGGAUACUACCCUGGCUGUAUGACCAUUCUAACCCGCCACGCUUAGCGCGUGGGGAGACAGUGUCAGGUGGGCAGUUUGACUGGGGCGGUCGCCUCCUAAAGAGUAACGGAGGCGCCCAAAGGUUCCCUCAGAAUGGAUGGAAAUCAUUCGCAGAGUGUAAAGGCACAAGGGAGCUUGACUGCGAGACUGACAAGUCGAGCAGGGACGAAAGUCGGGCUUAGUGAUCCGGUGGUUCCGCAUGGAAGGGCCAUCGCUCAACGGAUAAAAGCUACCCCGGGGAUAACAGGCUUAUCUCCCCCAAGAGUCCACAUCGACGGGGAGGUUUGGCACCUCGAUGUCGGCUCGUCGCAUCCUGGGGCUGUAGUCGGUCCCAAGGGUUGGGCUGUUCGCCCAUUAAAGCGGCACGCGAGCUGGGUUCAGAACGUCGUGAGACAGUUCGGUCCCUAUCCGUCGCGGGCGCAGGAAAUUUGAGAGGAGCUGUCCUUAGUACGAGAGGACCGGGAUGGACACACCGCUGGUGUACCAGUUGUUCCGCCAGGAGCAUCGCUGGGUAGCUAUGUGUGGCAGGGAUAAACGCUGAAAGCAUCUAAGCGUGAAGCCCCCCUCAAGAUGAGAUUUCCCAUUUCUUCGGAAAGUAAGAUCCCUGAAAGAUGAUCAGGUAGAUAGGUUUGGAGUGGAAGUGUAGCGAUACAUGGAGCGGACAAAUACUAAUCGAUCGAGGACUUAACCAAAA
Molecule: ribosomal RNA, 1993 nt
Filed under: Listeria monocytogenes
Lineage: Bacteria; Bacillati; Bacillota; Bacilli; Caryophanales; Listeriaceae
Description: partial 23S ribosomal RNA
Rfam family: Bacterial large subunit ribosomal RNA
Source: RNAcentral